Molecule: long non-coding RNA, 19767 nt
Filed under: Malus domestica (apple)
Lineage: Eukaryota; Viridiplantae; Streptophyta; Magnoliopsida; Rosales; Rosaceae
Description: long non-coding RNA (MDOM_LNC004283)
Source: RNAcentral
UCAGCUAACUACCCUUACUCAUCUCCACCACCACCGGCUUCUCCUCCCUACCACUACAAGUCACCACCACCUCCUUCUCCUUCUCCUCCAGUGUACUCACCACCUAAGCAUCCCUACCACCCCAAGUCACCACCACCAUCACCAAAGCCUUACCACUACAAGUCCCCACCACCACCUCCUCCUCCAGUGCACUCACCACCCCCACCAAAGGAGCCUUACCACUACAAGUCUCCACCACCACCACCCAAGAAACCUCACCAUCACAAGUCUCCUCCACCACCACCCAGGAAGCCCUACCACCCGGUGCACUCACCCCCACCACCAAAGAAGCCUUACCAUUACAAGUCUCCUCCACCACCACCCAAGAAGCCCUACCACCCGGUGCACUCACCCCCACCACCAAAGAAGCCUUACCAUUACAAGUCUCCUCCACCACCACCCAAGAAGCCCUACCACCCGGUGCACUCCCCACCACCACCAAAGAAGCCUUACCAUUACAAGUCUCCUCCACCACCACCCAAGAAGCCCUACCACCCGGUGCACUCACCCCCACCACCAAAGAAGCCUUACCAUUACCAAUCCCCACCACCACCACCACCACACAAGAAGCCUCACCACCCAGUUCACUCACCACCUCCACCUAAGAAGCCUUACCACUACACGUCUCCCCCACCACCCCCUCCAGUCCACAAGUCUCCUCCACCACCAGUUCACUCACCACCACCACCACCUAUUAAACCUUACAAGCCACCAACACCUCCAACAGUUCACCCACCACCCGCUUACAUCUAUUCAUCACCCCCACCUCCUCACCACUACUAGAUAUUGAGAGCUUAGUUGCAUCCAGUUGGUAAGCCUCUCCAUUCUAUGUUUUUAGAUCAUAUCCAUACAACUGCAAGCAAUCGCCAAAUAAUUUGACAAAAAACAUCCCUAGCUAUAAAAUUAUAAUACACUAGUGUUUACUUCCUUUUUUGUCUAAUAAUCCAUAUUGGCAUAUGCAAGCUUAAUGCAUUUCCAGCAUAUCGUCAUUACUCAAUUAAAGUUUCUUGAUAUUUAGUAGUACUCAAGUGUAACAAAUAGACCAAUGACAGAGACCUAACAAGUAACAAUAAUAUAUAUAUAUAUAUAUAUAUAUAUAUAUAUAUAUAUAUAUCUUUGCAGGUAAAGGAAGAAGAAGUCGAACAGCGCGCCUUAUCACCACACAAAGACGAAGAAGAGAAAGACAACGAGUUUCCACGCAGCUGCUGAUGUAACGUGUUUUAUUUAUGCGAUAUUUGUUAAAGGUCCAUAUUUUCCUUUCCUUGUAAUAUUAGACGGUUGUAGGGCACUCAUGUUUCAUGUAGUUGAUUUCCUGUUUGUCGAAAGAGAUGGUAUAUGUAUGUCGUUUGUUUCAACCUUCCAAUGGAGAGGUGAUCAUAAUAAUAAUAAAAUAAAUAGAUUUUCCAAAUUUUCCUUAAUUUCUCACACAUCUGAUAUGUUUUAUUCUCUUAAUAAUUAGAUUUCCAAAUAAUGUUAGAGAAACCACAUAUACAACAGGUGUACCAUUUGUUCUGACAAGUGAUAAUUAGGGUAAAUUACAUAAAACUACCUAAAUUAUUGGGUCAUUAACAAUUUCAUACCUCGUCUUUAAAAAGUUUCAAUGUCAUACCUUCUGUCAGUUGUCCGUCAAUUUUUUUGUUAAAUGCUGACGUGGCUUGAGACUGGACUAACUUUUUAUUAAAAAAAUUAAUUAAAUAUUAUUAAAAACUAAAAAAAUCAUUUAAUAUUUUUAAAUAUUAAACUAAUAAUUAAUUAAAGAAAAAUUUUUAAAAAAAAUACAACCAGUUUGUCUUCCCCACCCCCUUCUUACCCCACUCGAGCCCACUCCCUCUCUGUCUAAUCCCGCUUACAAACCCCUCCCCUCACCUUCUUCCCCAGCCUACCCGUUCCCCCACCUCUCUCCUGCACCACCAAAACCAGAACCACUCACCCACCGCCGUCCUCUCCUCCUCCAUCUUUGAUUCGAGCUCCAUUUUCAAAAAUUCCUCCCCGAAUCGACCCAAACAACCACAAAAAGCACCCACUUCGCCCAAGUAGGUAAGAAAUUACGGAUUUGGAAAAUGGCAAUCCCCAAAUAUGGGGCGAUUUCUGCAGCAACAUCACCAUUCCCUUUUUUUUUUCUUUGCAACUGACAUCACCAUUUCCAUCCCAACAUGAAUAGCAACUUGAACAACAUGCACACACCCAUUCGAGGACUGCGAUCCAGUUCCCAGUCUGGGUUCGGAUCGACACCAUCGUUUUGGUGGUGAAUGAGGGAGGUGAGGGGACGGGUAGGCUGGGGAAGAAGGUGAGGGGAGGGGUUUGUAAGCGGGAUUAGAGAGAGAGGGAGUGGGCUCAGUGAGGGGAGAAGGGGGUGUGGAAGACGAACUGGGGUUUUUAUUUUUUUUAUUUUUUAUUUUUUAAACUUUUCUUUAAUUAAUUAUUAUUUUAAUAUUUAAAAAUUUUUAAAUGAUUUUUUUAGUUUUUAAUAAUAUUUAAUUAAUUUUUUUAAUAAAAAGUGAGCCCACCUUAUGCCACGUCAGCAUUUAACAAAGGAAUUGACAGACAACUGACGGAAGGUAUGACAUUGCAACAAAAUCAAAGAUAAGGUAUGAUAUUGAAACUUUUUAAAGAAGAGGUAUGAAACUGUUAAUGACCCAAUAGUUGAGGUAGUUUUAUGUAAUUUACCCUGAUAAUUACAUGUUACCUCAAUUAAUGUGCUUAUCUCAUUGCUAGUUGUAAUAUCACUUGCCACAUUAUAUGGUGAUGUGGUGUAUAUAUGUGGCAUCAUUAACAUCACUCGAGAUUCCUCGUAAUUAAUAAUAUAUCUGAGUGUUGUUAACAAAUAAAAGGAUGAGAAAGAAGAGCUAACAAGAGUUGGUUAAGUUGGUAAGAAUUAUUCUCUUCGCUAGAUCAAAUUUUAUGUUCAAGUUCAGCUGCUGACAAUCCCUCUUAGUAGAUGAUCGUAAAAACGAAAAAAGGGGCUAAGACCCCUUCUGUAAGUCUUCCAUAAGGCUUGCGUAUGCCUUGAUCUUGGGAUGGGAUAUCCUCCUGCACCCCUAAACUUUUUAUUAACAAAAAAAAAAGAAUGAGAAAAAAGAAAAAAUUAUUUACAAAUGCUCUUGUUCCAUAAACACAAAAUAAAGAAGGCUAAAAAUUGUUAAAAUGCCUACAUAACCAAAAGAUUACAUUUAUUUUUGUACUAACUAACAACAUGUAUUUAUAAAGACCUAAUUCUAAAACAAACUGGAAAGUAAUCUAAUUAAUUCUAACGAAAAACAUAAAAAUACACUAACAUAAAAUAAACCGUUUGAUAACUUUUUCCAAUGUGUACUUGGCCACCUUUUAAUCACAAAAAAUAAUAUAACUAGUUUGACCCCUUCAUUGAGCUAACAAUUAUAAAAUAUAAAAAUUUCAGAAGAAAUAAAUAUAUAAAGAAAAAUACUGUUCGUACCACAUGUUCGCUGCAAGUGCAAAGAAAUCUGAAUAGCCACAACUUUAGGAAGAAGUAAGUUUUGUGGACUCUUUCUUAAAAGGCUUAAAUGUUAAAAUGGUUCUUCUGGUAUAAGCAUAUGGUCAAUUUAGUGUUUAUAUUUUUUAUUGGGCUUCAUUGACACACCCCGACCCAUAAUGUCCACUAGGACUCCGAAUCGAGAUGUGCUGGCCGACACCUGGAAGGUGACGAAGCCAUAAAGUGUGAUGAUGAAGAAAAUUGUGAAUAAAUUUAAACCUAAGAGUGCCUAAAUAUCAAAGUGCAUUGGUGAGCAGGAAUGAACUCACUUCACACGUGACGUUAGAGCAUAAGCAAGUACAGAAAAAUGAUAUAAGAAUCGUACCCUCGAAAUAGUCUCUGAUACUAAGAAUCGCUGCGAGUCUUUGGUGAUAAUAAAACUUAGCUAAUAAUACCUGGAGGAUGAAGACAAGACAAGGGUGAGUGGCAAUGUAAGUAAAUACUAAUAGAAAACAUAUAACACAUGUAAUCCCUCGUUACAACAUAUGUAUAGUUUCCAAAGAAAUCAUAAUGUACCACAACACAACAUCUCAUCAAUAAUAUCAAAUAAUCAAGCGAUUAAUAACUCAUAAUAGUACGCAAGUCAGAGUCACCUCUAGUGACCUAUACGACAUAUUCAUAUCUCAUCACAUCUCUCAUCAAUCAUGGCUAGCAUAUAAGUCGGAGUCACUUCUAGUGACCUAUACGACAUAUCCAUACAUCAUCACAUAUCUCAUCCAUCAUGGCUAGCAUAUAAGUCGGAGUCGCCUCUAGUGACUUAUAUGACAUAUUCACAUCUCAUCAAAUGUCUUAUCCAUCAUGGCUAAUACCGUGUACUUACUUGAAUUUACUUAAACUUAACUGAACUUACCUGAAUGUCCUACGUUCACCUUUGCACUUCAGAGCGCUCAUAGUAACACAAUUAUAUAUAAUGCAUCAUAUACCAAUUCAUAUACGAAUUAUAAACUUAUAUGCAUGGCAUUCAAGGCAUAAUCUCAUUUAAACAUAUUUCUGGGAAAAUAUCAAGUAUGUUGAUGCACAAAACCGGAGAUCUUGAAACAACGUAAAUCUGACCGUGAAUCUGCAUGAAAUGUAAAUAACACAAGAUGUAUCGUGGUUCACCCCAAGGUUUGAGCUACGUCCACACUGAUAUUGUAUUUAUCUGAGAGGUGAGGGAGAGAACCUCUGAAUAUGAGAGGGGAUGUGAGAAGGGUGAGAAGGCUUAAGAAAUGGCCCCCCUCAUUGUGAGGGUGAUGAGUCCUUUUAUAGAAUAAGGGCUCCUCACUUAUUACAUAUUUACCCCUUCCUUUAUCACAUAAUUACAUUUAAGUCCCCCGAGUAUUUGUACGAGAUCUAAAUACGAGGCCCUAAAUAUGAUAUAAACAGUAGUCCCCCAAGUCUUUAGUCAAGAGAGUCUUUUAGCUGGAGACUUGAAAUUUAGUCCAUGUGUGGGCCGAAGUAACUAGAUGUUGUCUUGAACUGAUGUUCAACUAGAAGUAGCACAUGUUGCGAGGCUGCGAGGCUCGUGGCUUAUGUUGCCUUGGUUAGCUCAGCUUGUAGCGUUGAAGGUGAGGGAGUCCCUUUUAUAGAAUAAGGGCUCGCUCCUCAAUACAUGAAUGAUAGGCUAGAGUUAAUACUCUCUAAUGAUGGUGAGGGAGUCCCUUUUAUAAAAUAAAGGUUCGCUCCUCAGUACAUGAAUAAUGGGUUAGGAGUGAUGCUCGCGGCGAGGCAGUUACGCAACUGGCGGCGAUGCUCUCUAACGAAGGUGAGGGAGUCCCUUUUAUAAAAUAAAGGCUCGCUCCUCAAUACAUAAGUGAUGGGCUAAGUCCCCCAAGUAUUUUUCAUGAGUGACUAAUGAAAGUGAGGGAAUUCCUUUUAUAGAAUAAGGGCUCGCUCCUCAGUACAUAGAUAAUGGGCUAGGUCCCCCAAGUAUUUUCCAUAUGGCCCAGUUGAGGCCCAAUAUAUGGUACAUAAUGUAGUCCCCCAAGUCUUCGGUCAAUAGAGUCUGUUGGCUGGAGACUUCAAAUUGAAUCCAUGUAUGGGCCGAAGUGGCGGUUGUUCGGAAGCGGUAUUUGUAUACCUUGAAUUGAAGCUUUGUAGGUAAAGCUUUGCAAGUGAAGCUUUGAAACUGUAGCUCUGUAAAUAAAGCUUUUGAAGCUAGAGCUUUGUAAAUGAAGUUUUUGAAGAUAGAGCUCUGUAAAUGAAGCUUUUGAAGCUAGAGCUUUUGUAAAUGAAGCUUUUGAAGCUGAUUGACAUGAGUGAUACUCAUGAAUGUUUAUGUUGAGUGAUGCUCAUGGAUGUUGACAUGAGUGAUGCUCAUGAAUGUUGACAUGAGUGAUGCUCAUGGAUGUUGACAUGAGUGAUGCUCAUGAAUGUUUAUGUAUGAUUGAUAGGAGUAAUACUCAUGAAUGUUUAUGUAUGACUGACAUGAGUAAUGCUUAUGUAUAAUUUGGGAGUACUGGGCAUACUUUUGAUCACCUGGUUGGUGGUAAUAGCGGCAGGUUGUUGAAUAAUUGUGGAGUACUGGGCGUACUUUUGAUCGCCUGGUUGGAGCUAUUUUGGGCUUAUGGGUCUUCGCCCUUUACACAACAUUCCAACCCAUUUAUUUUAGGCUUUUGCCCUUUUUUUUUGGUAUUAUUACCCUCUGAUGGGGUUUAUACAUAUGUCUCCGAAAGAUAAGAAAAAUAAAUUACAUCAUACAAAAACAAGAAAAGUAAAUCACAUCAUUCUGGUGGGGAGUUUAUUCUUUUUUUGAAAAGAGGAACAUGCAUGAUUCAGAAGUUGGUGGUCGACAGUUGGUUUUCAGAAAAUGGGCAGGUUCAUGAUGAUGAAGAAUCUUAUCUUGUCGCUUUGCCCACGCUGUCCAUGACCCAAUCACUGCUGGCCUUGACCCCAACCCUGGCCGACUCAGGGAGCUCAAAACAUUGUUCCUUGAGCAGCCCAAUACAAAGGCCAAAUCCCUCACCAUAUAGCUCAUUGACCUUCACGGGCCCCUAACCCAACAAUGCUUCGGAAUGGCAGCUUUAACAUCGGCUAAUUUGAAUGGCGGCGGUGCACCCAGAUCAAAUCCCACCUCCUCUUCUCCGCCAUUAACGCCGUUAACCCUCUCAUCCUCCUUUUCGACUGAAGCUACCCUCAACGGAGCGCUCACGUUAAGACCCCAUCUUCUCUCUCUAAACAACCCAUCUGCGAUUUUGGUCGAAUCCCAUCUCAGAUCCGCCAAGCUCUGGUUUGACCAAAAAACCCAAACUUUUGACGGGUAGCUAGAGCAAAUUGCGGUUCUGGGUCGAUUCCAAACUUGCGGGAGAGGCUUUAGGCCGCAUUCAGAAAGGACCCAACUCGCCAUUGGAGACCCAAAUGGAGCAGAAACCAACACCAGGGCACAGCAGAUCUGGACUCUUUUCUCAUGGGCCAAAGCCAUCCAUCUCAUUUCUUCCCCGCUCAGCCGCCACCCUCUCUCCUCUCCUCUCCUCUCUCUCUCUAAGUCAGAGAAAUGAUAAAGCGGCGAUUCUACAAGCUAGAACAUGGCGACAAAGAUGGCCCCUCAAAUUUGUCUUCAUCCUCAAAUUCGGAAAUAGAACCACAAGCCACAGACGACUCCGAUGAAGAAGAAGAAUAUGAUGCAGUCGAACAACUCAAGGACGAUGCUCAAUCUUGCUCUACCUCCUCUGGAUAUCAGAGUGAGGAUAGCUCAGCUAAUAAAGCUUUGAAAGAUGAUGAUGCUUCAACAGGACAUGAAAUACCAUAUCUUAUUGCCGAUCAGUUGCUUGGUAAAAGUGGUUCAGAAUUACUAGAGGAAGAAUCUUACAUCAUGCCAAACGAGGAAUAAAUACCAGUAGAUUUACUAGACUGUAUCGUGAAAUGCAAAUCAACUUUCAAAUGCAAGUUAUGCCCUAGAGUUGUCUGUUUGAAUGAGAAGAGUUUAAGGGCUCAUCUGAAGGUAGGCUGAAGACCAUACUGAACGCUGAUGGGAAAAUUGAUGAAGAAAAGACCCCUACUUUAUAUGCAAAAAUUCUUGCUAAUUCACAGGGUAUGCCGAGAAAGAAAAGUAAAAGACAGGACAAGAAUGGGUCGAAAAAGAGGACGAGAUAUGGUGUAUGGUGGUCAGCAAUCUAAAGGGAACCCUACGUAUUGAUGCUAGUAUUGGUUAGAAGGAACUUGGACUAAUGUUGGAGUUUGUGGCACAGCCGUUUUGUAAACACUUGCCUUGUAAUGAGACCUCCAUUUAUAAGACAGAUCUUGAUUAUGGCUCUAGAAUUUGGAAUUUAGAGUGGAUUGGUGAGCAUGGAGAGAGAGAGAGCUCUGUUUCUGUGUCUCUGUGUGGGUUUUGCAGAUUCACGGCUGAGGUGAAAAAUUAAGAAAGAACGGACAUAUCUUUUCGUGUCGAUUCCCACAGACGGCACCAAAUGUUGAUGGAGGUCUUGGAACAACGUAAAUCCGACCAUGAAUCUGCAUGAAAUGUAAAUAACACAAGAUGUAUCGUGGUUCACCCCAAGGUUUGGGCUACGUCCACACUGAUAUUGUAUUUAUCUGAGAGGUGAGGGAGAGAACCUUUGAAUAUGAUAGGGGAUGUGAGAAGGGUGAGAAGGCUUAAGAAAUAGCCUCCCCUCAUUGUAAGGGUGAGGGGUGAGGAGUCCUUUUAUAGAAUAAGGGCUCCUCACUUAUUACAUAUUUACCCCUUCCUUUAUCACAUAAUUACAUUUAAGUCCCCCAAGUAUUUGUACGAGAUCUACAUACGAGGCCCUAAAUAUGGUAUAAACAAAGUAUAUAAAUAUAUACUGAAAACCAAAAGCCCACACACAUUGCUCAAUUCCUUAAACAAGGCUAUGGUCUCGAUUAUUUAAUCUCAUUUCUUAUAUGGCUGCAUCUAACGUCUCGUUAGACUGCCUACGUACCCUAAGCAGGGAUUAAGCCAUUCGUAGUUCACACUAAUCAUUUAUGGUAAUACGCAUAUGGAUAUAUCAUGAAGAAGUCUAAACUCAACUAUCUCAUAGUAUUUUAUAACAUAUAAGUAUAUAUAUGUCAUAGCAUAAAUUUCUCAAUUUUAUUUAAAAGCAUUCAUAGAAUUAUCAAUCACGAAAAAUAUGAUAAGCAAGGAAAGCUCCACUCACCUGGAGUCCGCGCUACAACUUCCUAGUACAAACAUCGAGGCGUCACAAACGAUCGGCGCCUAUGACCAAUUAUCAAACCAUAUCUCAAAAUUCUCGUUGAUACAAUACAUGACUUACAUCGCACAUGAGUCUACGUAGUUCGGUCCAGAAGAUCUACAAAUCAGAUCUCUGAUCCGUAACUUCCAAGGAUCCAUAUUAUGCUUCUAGAAUAACAUAUUAAAGUUUCAAAACGAUCCAACGGUCGGAUCUCCGCCAAUUGCCAAAACCAAGUGGCGGUUAACUAUUUUACAAACUUACAAUUCUAAUUCAAGAAGAUCCGUAUGUCGGAUUCCCAAUCUGUAAGUUCCUAUAUUCCUCAAAUAUUAUGAAUAAUAACCUAUUAAAGUUUGAUGAAUAACCUAUUAAAGUUUGAUGACGAUCCAACGGUCGGAUCGUCGAUUCAGAUAAUGGCCUAUUAACGUAUCUUGUAGAAUUUUGGUUAUAACGAUCAAUUUACGUUAUUCAAUUCUCAAAAAUGAAUUCAAGGCAUCAAAUAUAGCCUAAAAAUAGCAUUGGCGGCCCUUUGGCCACGCGCCGCCGUGGGUGGCGGUUAUCCAUCCCGACUCGCCGAACAAAUCAACUAUCUCUAAAAAUUACCAAAAUUUUCAGAUUUGAAGAUCUCAAUGAGUAGAACAACUUUCAUACCUGUGACCAAUGCCAAUUUGGCCUGGAAAGGCUCCAAUUUCAUCAAAACCCGUCGGAAACCCUAGUUGUGAGUGUGUUCGAUCACACUCCAAAACAACUCCGUCGUCCCAACCAUUGCUUGGGAUUUGUUCUAGGCCUCAAGAGGAUUCCAUGGGUGGUGGCAAUUGAAAGAAAUUGCUUUGGGAUUGGGUGAUUCAAAGCCAAAGCGGCCGCACACCUCCUUGCGUGUUCCUCCAUUUUCAAGGCCAAAUAUCUCCAAAUUUGAGAUGGAAUGGAUAGAGGGAAGGUCGUGGAGGGUUUUACAAGGGUUGGUUUGAUGCAAUUCGUCGGAAAAAUGGGCCAAAACUAGUCAGAAAUGGCAAGAACACCGAUCGGGCCGGGUUACCAAUUUGCGGGUCGUGAUUCCCCGUUUCUCCCUUCCCUCCUUUCUCCUUCUUUCUUCUCUUUCUGAUUGUUCAGAUUCUCCUUCUCUCUUCUCCUGAUUCGUCCCCUCAUUCUUCUUUCAGAUUGGGCAGUUUUGCCCAAUCCCAUUUUUCCUUUCUUCUUCCUUCCCGACUGCCCUCUUUCUUUCCCAUAUUCUAAUCAUUCUAAUAUAAAAAUAUAUACAUAUAUAAGUAUAAAUAUUAACUAAAACCAAAAUACUUCUCGGGUUUACAGUUCCGUAAAACUUUAACCGUAACUCCAAAUCCUCUUCUGUUUGCGCCUACGAGCCCGUAUUGUCGAGUACUUCAGGAAUGCGCUAAAAGAAUUCCAUACGUCUCACUACACGUUGGUAAAUGAAAGUAAAAAAACCCUUCACCUCUAGGGCAUCAUCAUAAAAUCAUACUUUUAAAAUUUCUAAAAUAAUAAAAUUUGGGACGGGUUGUCACAUUCAUUGUGUUUGUAUUUGUUAGCCAAUUAAGGACAUUUUAUUCAAUCUCUUUUAAAAAAAAAUUAUAAGAAAAAUCAUAUGAGAAAUAAUUACCAUUUCUCUUUACAAAAAAAAAAUGAAAAUCAAUGGGAUAAACACAUAUAAGAAAUAAAACUUCCAAUCUGAAAAAUGAUUGAGCUUGUGACAUAAAAAAGAGAGGGCUAAUGUUAGGGAUGAGGUUGGAGAGUUGGGAGGAGAAUAAUUUUUCCUUUACUUUUUAAAUUUUAUUUCAUUUUAAAUCAAAUAAAUUAUAAUUUUAUAAAUCAUUUAUAAAAAAAAUUACAAAAAUUAAAUGAAAAUGUCUUUAAUUUGCUAACGGAGAUAAAUAGAAGACCAAAUCGGCUAAAUUAAAAACACAGGUAUUAAAUUAAUCCAAUGACUAAAACACAUAUACUAUUUUAACAUUUAAGCUAUCUUAAAAAUGCUUAAAAGCUCAGAAUGGCUGGAGCAGUUUAUGUAACAAUUACUUUUCGACAAAAACAAAAUUCAACGACAAUAUAAAUGAAUGCCAACAGGAGAUUUAAAAUGAAUUUUUACUGGAUCUUGGGGGUUAAAAGACUCUAAGCAGUGGUCUAUUAAACAAAUAACAAUCAUCUUUCAGUCUAAAUUUUGUUUGGAUAUAUAAUUCUCAUGAAGAAUAUUUUCAAUUCCUUCUAUUUAAAAUUUCGUAAUUCAUUUCUUACUAAUUUUAUUUUAUUUUUUUUAGACUUAAAAUUUCAUCGCUUGUCACUUAGUAAUAUGGUCUAGUUGUAUUUCUCUUUACUUGUACGUAAGAGAACUUAUAUCAGAUUUUCGCCAAAAAUAAAUUUGAACCAUAUUAUUAUUAACUUAUUAUGAGACUAAAUUCAUCUUUUCUCAAAUAAUAUCGUUUAUUAAAAAAAAUAAAAAAUUCGCGUCACUCAACAUAACUCAAGUUUCUCCUGUUAAGGUGAGUAAUUUAUUUCAAGCAACUCUGCCCCGACAGGGCUCAGUUUGUCUUCUUCUUAUUUUCUAAUCUUGGGUGUCGAAAUAUCAAGUUGACAACACUACAAAGCAUGGAGGAUUGGAGCUUUCAAUUAAGUGAUCUAUAUAUUUUCUUCAAUUAUUUCCCAUAUUUCAUGGCUUAAAUUUGUGAUUACUUUUUCAAAAAUAAAAUGUCAAAUACUUUUUCUAAAAGUUAAUGCUGUUUAUUUUUUUUAGAAACAAGUUAAAAGUGGUAAUUUUAUUGAUAAAACUUAGUUUACUAUAUAUAUAAUUGUCUUCCAGUAGACCAUCGUGGAUAGAAUCAAAAGGACUAUCAAACCCUAAAAAAUUCUCACUAGUAUAAAGAGAAAAGCGAAUUCACUGUUGUGCGAUAUUGAGAUUGUUCAAAAUUCUACAAUGAACCACUUGUUAGGAUUCAAAUCAUAUAACGUUAGCAAAUAUAACGAACCAAUCACAUAAAUAGGAAAGGAUUCAGAUCAUGUAUUCGGUCAAUGGCAUUCACAACCAAAUUAAUCUUCCACAUAUCAAAUAAUUGGUAGAUUGAAGCAUUUCCAAGCUAGAUUCGGACCAAUAAUAGUUUAGCAACGAUGUUUUUCUGAAAAUUAAAUUCAAAAUCUCUCACUCAUGCGUUAAGAGAAGUAUAUACCACUUACAAUACUAGUGAAAGAUAUUCAGUUGUUUUAAUGACUUAAUUUUGAAAGGCAUAUUAAUUACUUUUAAAAAUAAUGAGCAGAUAGGAUUUGGCCUAGUGUCGAGUGCCGACCAAAAAUGAAUUGUUUUUUAUGAAGUAUAGGAUGCACCUUCACGGAAGGAGAUUAUCUCCAGAUCUCUUCCAUCUAAUCAUCCUUAUCAAACAAUCUGGACCUUUGAAAUUUGAUCUAACGGCUAAAGUUAUUAUAAUUUUUAAAGUGGGCCCAUGUUUUUAGCUGUUUGAUCAAAUUUCAAGAGUCCAGAUUGUUUGAUGGGGAGGAUUAAGUGGAAGGAAUUCGGAGAGGAUCCCUUUCCCACUUCACCACCUUCACCAAGAAGAAGAGAAAUGCUAAGAAGACUCUCAAAAGUGAGAUUUUAUAUAACUUUCUACCACCUCAUGUGUUUUGUAUAAAUCCCAUACUAACAUUAUAAAAUAGUAUGCUAAAAAAAUGAGGUAACAAAGAGUCUAUAAAAAAUCCCACUUUGAGAGACUCCUUAGCAUUUCUCAUAAAAGAAUCGUAGAAAGUGAAGUUAGUUCAAUAAUUGUUCUCUUUAAAGUGCUAUAUAUAAUCCAAAUGUUUGGUAUUGAUCAAGAAUUGAAUGGGAACAUAAGCUGAUACAGAGGAGUACAGAAUAAGUCAAAUCUAGAUCGUACCAAAUGGUUGGGGCCUUACAAGUUACUGAGAUACUCAAGUCAUGUGACAUUCGUAGGAAGAUAAUUGGGGCAUUCUACCCUACGCGCGUACUUGUAUUACAUGUCGAUAGGAUAACAUUAUAAAAUAGAAAGCAAGAUCAUGUCUUCAAACCACCAACAAACUUUCCUCCUUGCAAAUAAAAAUUUAUAUAAUGUAGAAUGUGCCACACCAUUUGGUGUACAAAUUUAAUGCGUGAAUUUAGUGUAUGUAGCACUGCCCAUUGUUAGACAUCUAGUAAAUAACAAAAGAUAUUAUAAGUGAUUUUUUUGUGUAAUCAAAUCCGAAUUUGACAUGUCAAUUUUCUAUUUUAACGAGAUAUAUAUAUAUAUAUAUAUGUACGUAUUUGUAAUACAACUAUUUCCAAUUAUAAUAAGUCUUUUUAUUUUUUCUUUUGUUGAAUAUCAAUAAGUUCAAGGAAUUCGAAAGUCCACGGCCACUUUCGAGUCGUUUUCCGGCCAAACCACGGCGAGUUAGCCAUCUAAAAAGGUACCAUUCUCUUCGUCUCGUCGAGAAGUAUGAUUUUCGUUUUUUAAAUCACUUGAUUUCGUUGAGUAUUGAAGAAGUUAUGAACAUUUAAAGUUUACCCAGUUUCCGGCUAGUUUUCCAGUUUUCCCUCGGACCAGUCAACUUUGAGGCUAUUUUCCGGCCAUCUCCGGCAACCAUUGGGCUUCCAAAUAGGUAUAAUCUUAUUCUACACUUUCCUAUCUUCAUUUUGAUGUAUUAUGGGUCGAAUUUGGUUAAGAAACGAUUGAGUUACAAAACUUUGAAAAUUGUCCAAACUUCCGGCCAAGAGCUCAGGGACACUUAACGGAGUUUUUAACGGAAUGACCAAAAUGAUGGAUGGUGGACAAUCUCAGGGACCACUUUGGUUGAUUUGAAAUGUUAUGGACCAAAGUGAUGAGUUAUGCAAAUCUCAUGGACCAUUUUGGUUAUUUAGCCUUAAAAAGAUAAGUACUCAUAAAUUAUAACCUCAAUCAUAGCCUCGCGGCUAACCAAAAGCAUUGCACCUGAUUUCUUGCGUGUUAGACAUGAAGCCUUAAUAUAAUGUUGGAAAAUAAAGUCCUACAUCAAAGACACAAUAAAAUACUUUACAAUUUAUAUGUACGAAGUUCACUACUAAUACUAUCGAAUCCUUUUGUUAUAUUGUUCAUGCUUGAUAAUAUGGCAAUUUUUGAUACAAAAUAGUAUGAUGAUUAAGUUAAUUAAAGACAAUAUUAGCGAUGUUACAUAAUGAACCAUGCUAAAUUAAUCUAAGGAGUUUAUCACAUGAUUGAAUUUCUGUUUCAUUUUCAGAGUGCGUGCAUGCAUGCAGGUCAUCAUUCCCGCGUAUUGAAUCUGCAUGCGUUUAUUAACAUGUUCUAUGUAAAAAUUGUAAAUACAUACACACGCACACGCACACGCACGCUUUAUGUAUAUGCAAUGAUCAAGUUCCUACAAAAAGUAUAUAAAAACCUUCAAGUUAAAUUGACCAGUCACAUCAUCUCACCGGGUGUCCUUCCUCCUUAAUGAAAGGAUUCGGCUUUUCUAUCUUAACUGUGGUAUUCAACAUAGUUGUAAUUAAUCAACCUAAACCAUUUCGUUAUGACCUAAUUAAUAUAAUCUUAAUGUGCAUGUGGAUUAGGUAGCUAAUUCUACUUUGGAUUCGAUCUUGACAUCGAGGUUAUCUUAAUUAGUGUCGGUUAAUUUUAUAUGCAUUUAUGAGUGAUCAAAUUUUAUGAACCUAUUUUGUGUGGUGCUUUUAUCAUUGAUUGACAUGUAUCAAAUUUAUGACAAUAAAGUUAAGCAUGGUCAUGUUUAUUACCAUGUAUCAAUUACUGAUAGAGGUCACAAAGAAACAACACGUAAAAAGAGUGCAAAAAAUUUGAACUCCAUCUCUGAUUACAUCACCAUGGCACGUAAACACAAUGGUAUCCAUGUAUGAACAUGUAGGAGUCAAGACUCAAGAUUUAUAAAUUUGUUUUGUUGUCCUUUUUUAUGAAGAAAUUAAUGAUUUGAUUUGGCACAAGAAGUAUAGUACAUGAAAGUCGAACUGAAUCUGGCUGGAAUGUAGGCAAUGAUACAACUCAAUUUGCUGAGAAGUAUGAAGGAAACAUAAUUCUUCAUUUAUAUAAAUAAAAAGAUUAAAAAAAAAACUGAGCACAAAUCUAUGAUGGCCAACAUUCCAGCCAGAUUCAUUCAAAGCUGAUGGGUCUUUUCCCUUUCUCCUUUGGUAAUAUUACUUAAGAAUGAUUGAUAAGAAAUUGAAUGUGGAUACGUACGGUUUGAAUAUUGGCAAGCUCAAGCUCAUGUUCGAGAAUCCUUACACUUCUUCUUUGGUUUUUCCUAUGGCUAAAAAUUGACAUUUCAAUUAUUUAAACCAACCAUGAUCAACAGUUCUAUGAAUUGUUUUUCAAAAUUUGGUUAAAUUGUUUCAUCCAAUUAAUUCAUCGAAAUUAUUUAAUUGAGAGAUUCAACUACUUUGUAAGAGCGUUCAAAGUGUACAUGUAAUUUGACUGUCCCGACACACCUUUCUCAUAUCUCUCUAAUAACUUUAGUUUUGCUUUUAGUUUUGCUUUUGAACAAAUUAAUAAUUAAAAAUGCAAACCAUAUUGCAUUAAAAGGCGAGAGAUUGUAGUAAAAAUAUUUUCAUCAUUUUAAUUUGUCGACCCCAUAAUUCUUUGCUCUAUACAUUUUAUCUUUUUGGUGGUCCUUGUUUUGGUUGCUGUAAAUUGCGAGGGAUUGUAAUAAAGUGUCGGCAACCAACAAUUUGCGCCGAUGUUCUCGUCACCUCACGUGGAAAAUGGAAUGGAGGGACGUUUAUAUUUUCAAUUUUUAUGUUAAAAUUUUCAAGUUUAUACAAGUCAAUGGUUGAAAUUGCCGUAGAAACAAACACAACAUCUGGACAACAAGGAAGAAGACAUGAAAUAGGGAGCCUACGAUAACGAAUUAAACAAAUUAUACUUAACUAAUCCAUUUUAAUAAAUGUUGGUGUUGUCACUCAUGUGAAAAUGGAGAAAAAAUAAUCGUUAUCCACCUACAAUCGGAUGUUUAAUCUAUUUACUAGCUAGUUACAAAGUCAAAGGUUUAUCAUUUAAUGGAAUUGUUCGUGGCAGGAAUUUCCGUCGGGGAUGUUUCCUGGCCGACGAGCACACAGCUCCCCUGGAGGUUGGUGCCAGUUGAGGGCUGCUGUCGGGCUUCUGCUUCACUAUCGGGCGUUGUCGGGCAAGUCUCGUCGGGCAAGUCUCGUCGAGCAAGACUCUUCGGGCAAGACUCUUCGGGCAAGGCUGAAAGAGAAGGACAGCAUUAACUUUGAGAGGUGCCUUUGUGGGGCCUUAGGUGUAGGCCUUGAGGCUCACAAUCAAGGUUAACAUUUAAGUGCUCAGGCGUGCCACUGCCAUCUUUAGCAUGGCAGAUGUAAAAUAGUUGUCGUGCUUUAGUUGUAUAUAUAUAUGUAUCCAAGAAACCGUGUUAGUUAUAACAGGUGCCUUUGUGGGGCCUUAGGUGUAGGCCUUGAGGCUUCCCAUAAAUAACUAAACCAGUGCUCGAACACAUCAUAUUUGUUCUCGUGAUUGUAGGAGUUUUCUAACUAUUAUACUUCUGAUUACCCGAAUCCAAGAAGUAGAAUGAACCCAAAUAGAUGCCUUUGUGGGGCCUUAGGUGUAGGCCUUUAGGCUUCCCAUCAGAGUUCAUUCUUAUACUUAGACUCUUUAGAUCGCUGAACGGAAUGAAUCCAAAUGGAUGCCUUUGUGGGGCCUUAGGUGUAGGCCUUGAGGCUUUCCAUUAGAAUCCAUUCCAUGCUCAAGCGUUCUAUGGUAAUCAUGAUAUAAUAGAAAGAAAACUAGAAGGUAGGUUGAUUACUUGCGCCCCAAGUAACUUCGGACUUCUCGUUUAUCAAGGACUGUCGUGGAUGGGUUAAGUCCACAUAAGGUUCUUUUUUAUGCCUUGAGGCCAAUGACUUUUAACUGAUCAGAUUUACAUGCCCGAGGGCUUAGGACUUGGAUCUGGUUGAACACUGACGAUAUAUUCAAAUCGGAUUCAAGCACUGAGAAAGCCUUUUAAUAGUCAUGUUGCUAGAAAUAACUUGCAUAUAACUGGAAGUAUACAACAUAUUGAAAAGACAAAACUAAAGCAAAGAAGGUCGGGCAAGGUUAAACCUUAUCGGGUAAGGUUGCUCGUCUUGCAGGUUCCUAUCUUUGUAGUUUUGUCAAAGGUCUGAAAGCUUAGAGGGGUAGAGAGAGAGAGAUUACAAAAGAUGAAUCGAUACUACAGCAAGGUUGAACAAGGUAGCAGAGCUAUUACAAAGGGUUGAAGAUAGGGUUAUCCCGAGAGGGAUGAAGGUUUGUCCCGAAAGGGAUGAAGGCUGACUACAGCUUUGUUUUGAAGGCAAAUCUGGCUUUGAGCAGAGUUUGUGCUUGCAUUUGUUUGUUUGAUUGAGUGUCCUUAUUCCUGGAUUUUCUUUCUUCUUAUAUAGACAACUCGGCUUGGGCUUCUGUAGCAGCAGCUUUGCCCGAAUGCAGUUUGAGGGUGAUGACUCAUCAGCUAUUUUACAUGUAAUGCCACCAUAAAGUGCUUUAUGGGCUGUGUAACUGAUCAGUCUGCACCACUUGGCCUUUGGGUAGGUAAGCAAGUGGUCUUCAUGAGUUGUACCAGGUCAGAAAAGGCAUUUCCCUGCCUUCUGGGCUUCGACUGGGCUUCGGCUAUCUUCCCUUUCGGGCCUCCUUUUGGGCCAACUCCUUUCUUGAGCCCAAAGUUCAAGUUUUAAUCCAAACAGGAAUCAUGAGAUGUAAAUAUCUAUGAUUAAUACGUGUGCGAUAAUUAAACUAACCACACGUAAUACUAUAAUGAGUUUGUAAUUCAAAUGGUUAAGACUAUUAAUUUGUUCGAGGAGUUGUGAUCAAUAUUCCCUCUUUAACUAUUGCUUGUACAGCCACUUAAUAUUACAGUAUAGUGGUAUUCUUCUUCCCUUUUAAGUGAGAUGUCUUAUGUUCAAUUCUUGUCAAAGAUAAAUUUUAACCACAUUAUUACUAGUUCAUUGUGAGACUUGACCCACCCCCCACUAACUUCUUAUAGAUAAUAUCGUUUAUUAAAAAAAUAUAUAUAUAUAUUGCUUGUGCAAAACACAUAGGUUUCACUACUAGAAUUUUUUUUUUUUUAACAAACGAUAUUAUCUACUCUAAGGGGAUGGGGUAAGAUUAGCCUCACAAUGGGUUAGCAAUAAUGUAGUUCAAAUAGAAUUUUGAUUCUUUUAAACCUAGGAGUGCAAUACUAAUUCUUUAUCCUUACGUUAACCAUAAUAUCAUUACAAAGAAAGUUAUAACCAGGCAUAAUUAGCAACUUGGAGUAUAGAGAUAAGAUGCAUGACUUAAAAGGAAAUUUGAAGUGAUUUUUCGAAACUCCUUUUCUAUUUCUGCACACCCUUUUUAAGUUUAGUCCUAGAUUCAUUUUUUAUUUGUUCAAUCUAAUUAUAAGAAAAAGAAAAGAUAGAGAUGUGUGGGAGGUAAAGACGGUGUGUAAAUUUUCUUUCAAACAAACAUAGUUCACCGAGUGGUUGCAAUUCACAGGGGACCUUCUUGGAUACUCGGAAGACCCGUACUCUUGAGUACUGCUCUAAAAAAUGGGCCUAGGCAAUGGUGUUCUGCCGCGAUUUAGGCCAAAUCAUCCAACAAAAUCAGAUAAGAGUUACACGCCUGUCUAGGCGGUGAUCUAGGAAGGUUUUUUUUUUUUUUUUUUGGUAUACUGACUUUCUCUUGUCUUUCGUCGCCGUUGCAUCUCUCAUAGACAAUGGAAGAUCUGAUGAGAAGAGGGAGGAUGAGAGAAAGAGAAGAGUUCCAUUUGCAAAUCUGCAAUUGCAUAGAAGUGGUGGGACAACAAUAGUUAGGGUUUAACAUUUAAGUCAGGUUACAUUUUUCUUGAACGAACAAUAUUAUCUAAACUAAGGCAGUGGAGAAAUAUUACUAAAUUGAGAGAAACGAACCUACCCCUCGCGGAGGGUCCAAAAAGGAGCAGUAAGGAAAGUACCGGGCCUUCAAAACCCUAGCCCACAAUGAGUUUGGGUCCUGAAUCAAUCUCCAACAUUGUUUAGCAAGUAGGACAUCAUUAAAAUCCACAAAAUUCCGAAAGCCCAUUCCCCCUUCCGACUUCGGCAGACCCAAAGGCUCUUUUGAUACCCAAUGAAUACGUCUCUCCCUGCCCUUUUGGCCCAACCAAAAUCUGGUGAUCAUCGCAUCCAAUUUAUGUUUGGUAACUCAAGCAAACCUAGCUUCUUUGUUUUUUUCCAAAAUCACAGCCAUUCAAAGCAAAAAAAAAAAAGCGAAAAACCAGUUUUUUUAUUUUUUAUUUUUACCAAAACACGAGUGAAUAGUAGUCAUUAAUGAAAUUUUUAAUACGGCAAUCCUAUCCUCCCUCGCCACCCCCCCUGUCUGCGCAUCAAACGUAUUUCCUCGUCUCCGAGGCUCCCAACUCGAUCUCUCCCAGUCGAGAAAUUAGUGGACACCAAAUUCAAUCAAAAUUGAAAGAGACUGAAAUUCAAUCAAAUUGUAAGAGAAUACAAACCCGCAAAUCUUAUCGACCUCGGAAGGAUGCCGUCCUUGGCUUCACUUUCUCUAGCUUCUGUUUUUUUUUUUUUUUUUUUUUUUUUGAUCUUUUAUUUUUUGGAAGUGUGGGUGAAGCCAUGGAUUGCUGGAGCCUGGGAGAGAAGCAAGACGGAGGUUACAAAGAAAAAAGAAAAUUGAGGAUUAUGAAAAAUUAAAUUAAAUUAAAGAUGAAUAUGAUAACAUCACAUCCCCACCAUAUACAUUUUAUUCAUUUUAUACUGUCACAGUGAUUUUUCAUAAAAGUUUACCAAAACCCGCGCUCUUUUUUUUUUUGCUAAAAACACUUUUACAUCUAGAGUUCACAAAUACUUUACCGUUCAUUUUAUAGAUGUUUAUUCUCAUAGCACAUCAGAAACAGUUUUUUUAAAAGCACAACAAUACCAAACUAGCCCUGAAUGUGAUUAAGACUUUUUGUUGGCUUGUUAUUCAUGUUUGGCUUGUUUUGGGAGUGUUUAAUCUCGACUUGUAAGUAUAAAGAGCUGAGGUCGAACAAAAUAUUUAGAAAAAUGAGCUGAGAUACAAGUUUAGUACGCAACUCGUAUCAAUUUAGAAUGAACAUGCAAUCAUUUGGCAGUAUCAAACCAUGCUCGAGUACGAACAGUAUCAUUUGAACCAAGCACCUGGUAUUUGGCGU